This 85-nucleotide unclassified non-coding RNA is filed under the name Chryseobacterium sp. OV279. RNAcentral describes it as "Flavo-1 RNA". Lineage: Bacteria; Pseudomonadati; Bacteroidota; Flavobacteriia; Flavobacteriales; Weeksellaceae. The record is from RNAcentral.
CCCUAGUCCCGAUAGCAGCGGUUACCCCACAGCAGCAAGGGUCAGGCUUUGGGGCGAGGAGUAUGAGCGGAUAGCGGGAUACAGC